This is an RNA transcript of Pelobates fuscus (common spadefoot toad), 749 nucleotides long. It is a transcript of the gene named phospholipid scramblase 1-like, with no coding region annotated. NCBI's taxonomy places the organism in Eukaryota, Metazoa, Chordata, Amphibia, Anura, Pelobatidae. The record is from RefSeq and is a predicted model, not a curated record. The transcript is spliced from 6 exons.
UCACUUCUGCUAUAUUGGAGGAUCUCCUCUACAGAGUGUCUCCUUGAUAAUCUUCAUUAGGACUAUGUGUCAUCGUAACAAUGGAUUUACAAGGUACACCUGUUGGUUCUGGGCAGGUACCCCCUAUCCAAAGUCAGCCAAGCGGGUCUAGCGGUGCGGAGUCCUUGUGGAUCCCAGUUGCAGAACCUCAAGGUGGAAGAGGCCUAGAGUAUUUAAGACCGCUUGAAGUGCAGUCUCCUCCAGGAACAACUAUUGGUUAUGUAAUCCAGAACUGGAGUCUGUGUCAACCCACUUUUACCAUCCAGAAUGAAAACGAUCAGGAUGUUUUUCUGGUAACGAGAACCAUGGGCUUAUGUUCACCUCUUUCAUUUAAAGUAAAAACUGCAGAGCAGAGAUCGGAGGUGGGAUGAUUAACAUGCGUUUUUUGUGUCUGGGUAUGUGCACAUUCAACAAAGAUUAUGAGAUCCAGUUUCCAUUGGACCUUUAUGUGAAACUGAAAGCUCUCCUGCUUAGUACAGGCCUUUUAUUUGAUUUCCUAUUCUAUAAAAGAAAUGGCUAAAAAUGGAACCAGAGUGUUGGAGGAUUUUCCCAUGGGACUAUUGUGUCCCAUGGGACUAUUCUCCAAGGAGAGGCACACAUGGUUUAAUUUGCUUUCACCGCCCUUUACCUAUACGGUGUUCUCAUUUUACUUCAUUAAUCAAUUGAGAUAUCCAGUAAUAGACGCAGCAGAUGUUAAUGCCGGACUGUGU